This 493-nucleotide ribosomal RNA is filed under the name uncultured bacterium. RNAcentral's name for it is "partial 16S ribosomal RNA". It matches the Rfam family "Bacterial small subunit ribosomal RNA", at positions 29 to 523 of the family's 1533-position model. The record is from RNAcentral.
AUUGAACGCUGGCGGUAUGCUUUACACAUGCAAGUCGAACGGUAACAGGUUAAGCUGACGAGUGGCGAACGGGUGAGUAGUGCAUCGGAACGUGCCCGGUCGUGGGGGAUAACGCAGCGAAAGCUGCGCUAAUACCGCAUACGAUCUGAGGAUGAAAGCGGGGGACCGUAAGGCCUCGCGCGAUCGGAGCGGCCGAUGUCAGAUUAGGUAGUUGGUGGGGUAAAGGCUCACCAAGCCGACGAUCUGUAGCUGGUCUGAGAGGACGACCAGCCACACUGGGACUGAGACACGGCCCAGACUCCUACGGGAGGCAGCAGUGGGGAAUUUUGGACAAUGGGCGCAAGCCUGAUCCAGCAAUGCCGCGUGCAGGAAGAAGGCCUUCGGGUUGUAAACUGCUUUUGUACGGAGCGAAAAGGCUCUCUCUAAUACAGGGGGCUCAUGACGGUACCGUAAGAAUAAGCACCGGCUAACUACGUGCCAGCCGCCGCGGUAA